RNAcentral lists this long non-coding RNA (259 nucleotides) under Zea mays. Its description in RNAcentral is "long non-coding RNA (ZMAY_LNC000037)". Lineage: Eukaryota; Viridiplantae; Streptophyta; Magnoliopsida; Poales; Poaceae. The record is from RNAcentral.
CCCUGCCCUACAUCAUCAUCUUCGGCAUGUCCACCCCCUUCGUCAUCCUCGCCAUCGCCUUCGCCAAUGGCUGGAUCAAGGUCCCUGUGCGAUGACCGUAACGCGAUCAGCCAGCCUGGAUCAUAGAUGCUGACUCGUCAGCCUGCAUCUCAUCCAGCGUGUGUCCUGCGACUUUGUACCUUCAUAUAUAGAGACAAGAGUUCUUGCGUGUGAGCAUAAUUGCAUGAUCGCGUGGUGUAUGUAACCCGAAACUGUUUAC